UGAAUACGAGAUGCUACGGCGUCGAAGCAGUCUAUGCCAUACUUCCAAGAAAAGCUUGCACUGUCAUAAACAAAUAAUGCCUGUACCAUAACCGACACAGGUGGGUAGGUAGAGUAUACUAAGGGGCGCGAGAUAACUCUCUCUAAGGAACUCGGCAAAAUGACUCCGUAACUUCGGGAGAAGGAGUGCCUUAUUUAUAAGGUUGCAAUAACAAGAUCCAAGCAACUGUUUAUCAAAAACACAGGUCUCCGCUAAGUCGUAAGACGAUGUAUGGGGGCUGACGCCUGCCCAGUGCCAGAAGGUUAAAGAAGUUGGUUAGUGUAUGCGAAGCUGAUGACUGAAGCCCUGGUGAACGGCGGCCGUAACUAUAACGGUCCUAAGGUAGCGAAAUUCCUUGUCGGGUAAGUUCCGACCCGCACGAAAGGCGUAAUGAUUUGGAUACUGUCUCGGAGAGAGGCUCGGUGAAAUAGACUUGUCUGUGAAGAUGCGGACUACCUGCACCAGGACAGAAAGACCCUAUGAAGCUUUACUGUAACUUGAAAUUGGAAUUGGACUUUGCUUGCGCAGUAUAGGUGGGAAGCGUUGAAGAUAUUCUUGCGGGAGUAUUGGAGCUAUCAGUGAGAUACCACUCUUGUAAUGUUAGAUUUCUAACUUUGAACCAUAAUCUGGUCAAAGAACAGUUUCAGGUGGGCAGUUUGACUGGGGCGGUCGCCUCCCAAAUGGUAACGGAGGCGUACAAAGGUUUCCUCUGAACGGAUAGAAAUCGUAUCUAGAGUGUAAAGGCAUAAGGAAGCUUGACUGUGAGACCUACAAGUCGAGCAGGGACGAAAGUCGGUCUUAGUGAUCUGACGGUACUGAGUGGAAAGGCCGUCACUCAACGGAUAAAAGUUACUCUAAGGAUAACAGGCUGAUCUCCCCCAAGAGUUCACAUCGACGGGGAGGUUUGGCACCUCGAUGUCGGCUCAUCGCAUCCUGGGGCGGUAGUACGUCCCAAGGGUUGGGCUGUUCGCCCAUGAAAGCGGUACGCGAGCUGGGUUCAGAACGUCGUGAGACAGUUCGGUCCAUAUCCGGUGUAGGCGUUAGAAUAUUGAGAGGAGCCUUCUUUAGUACGAGAGGACCGAGAAGGACACACCGCUGGUGUACCAGUUAUCGUGCCAACGGUAAACGCUGGGUAGCUAUGUGUGGAGUGGAUAACCGCUGAAAGCAUCUAAGUGGGAAGCCCACCUCAAGAUGAG
This 1235-nucleotide ribosomal RNA is filed under the name metagenome. RNAcentral's name for it is "bacterial LSU rRNA". It matches the Rfam family "Bacterial large subunit ribosomal RNA", at positions 1564 to 2808 of the family's 2925-position model. The record is from RNAcentral.